GUUAAAACACCAGUUCCCAUACAAUCACUGAAAUUAAGCAACAUUGAACUUGGUCAGUACCUAGAUGGGUGACCACUUGGGAAUACCAGCUGCUGUAAG
Molecule: non-coding RNA, 99 nt
Organism: Acanthosepion pharaonis
Lineage: Eukaryota; Metazoa; Mollusca; Cephalopoda; Sepiida; Sepiidae
Source: the annotation of a GenBank genome assembly